CCGGGCAGCGACGACGUCCCGGUCAAGCCCCUUCAGUCGUUGGCCCGAGGCCGACGUCGGUUUCCUGUGCUGAAUUCCUAACGUAUGGCAACCCUUCGUCCACCAACGUCCCGUACUCCUCCUUUCGCCUCGGCCCCCGCAAGGGGACGCGGCGCGGGGAGGACAUCAAGGCCCCCGUCGUGUCUCGCGACCCAGGCGCCCCGCUCGCACGGGCUCGCCGGGGCUGUCGAACCACGACGUCGUGCCCGAUCUCUCGGAUGCGGAAAACCAAGCGGCAACGAGGCCACGGCCUCCACUGCCCCUCACAAGAGCGUCCAACGCUCCCUGCGGACGACUGCCGGCCGGGUCUUGGCCCGGAGCCCCAGCGGCUCCCGGAUCAUGCCCGGGCGGCGUCGACGAGGAAUGCUACCUGGUUGAUCCUGCCAGUA
This 428-nucleotide unclassified non-coding RNA is filed under the name Sideritis clandestina. Its description in RNAcentral is "partial contains external transcribed spacer and small subunit ribosomal RNA". Lineage: Eukaryota; Viridiplantae; Streptophyta; Magnoliopsida; Lamiales; Lamiaceae. The record is from RNAcentral.